AGUGAACGCUGGCGGUAGGCCUAACACAUGCAAGUCGAACGGCAGCACAGUAAGAGCUUGCUCUUACGGGUGGCGAGUGGCGGACGGGUGAGGAAUACAUCGGAAUCUACUUUUUCGUGGGGGAUAACGUAGGGAAACUUACGCUAAUACCGCAUACGACCUACGGGUGAAAGCAGGGGAUCUUCGGACCUUGCGCGAUUGAAUGAGCCGAUGUCGGAUUAGCUAGUUGGCGGGGUAAAGGCCCACCAAGGCGACGAUCCGUAGCUGGGCUGAGAGGAUGAGGAGCAAGACUAGAAUGGAAACACGAUCCAGACUAGAACGGGAGGCAGCGGAGGGGGAGAGAAGAAAAGGGGAGGAGGGCAGAUCCGGACGAGCCGCGUGGAGGAAGAGAGCAAGGGGGUUGGGAAGCAAUUCUGUGGGGAAAGAAAAGAAGCAGAUUAAUACCCCGCUGAACUGACGGUACCCAAAGAGUAAGCAACGGCUAACUUCGUG
RNAcentral lists this ribosomal RNA (492 nucleotides) under uncultured bacterium. RNAcentral describes it as "partial 16S ribosomal RNA". It matches the Rfam family "Bacterial small subunit ribosomal RNA", at positions 30 to 507 of the family's 1533-position model. The record is from RNAcentral.